RNAcentral lists this unclassified non-coding RNA (369 nucleotides) under Hevea brasiliensis (rubber tree). Lineage: Eukaryota; Viridiplantae; Streptophyta; Magnoliopsida; Malpighiales; Euphorbiaceae. The record is from RNAcentral.
UGCAAACGUCUAAAACAAGAUUAACCAUUCCCCUCAAGCAAAGCACUGCAUCCAAACCCAAGAGAAAUUAACAUCUGCUAACAUAACUACUAACAUUGCUUUCUACUCACAGAGCAUCAACAAGUCGCCCUCUCUAUGAAGAUCUAGGGUCUGCUACCAACAAGACAACCUCAAAAACUAUAAACAACAAACCCGAGGUGAGAGGGGAAACCACAAUCGAGCCCGAACACACCAUCUUCCCCUGCCCCAAAGGAUAGGGGAAGCUAAAAUGAGAGCAUGCUAGGCAAAACCCGAGAGAAAAUCAACGGUGAGUAAAACUAGUUGAGAGGAUUUUCUCUCUCUAUAAACAAGAGAGAGAGAGAAUUUAUU